CCACAGGGGGUUACCUUUCACAAUCAGCCUCCCAAUACAAAUGGUGUUGUAAAAAUCUUUGAUUCGUGCAAACAACUGAACAAAAUCAAGACUUUAGAAAUGAACUGUUUGGGUAACCCCCUUAGUGGUUCUAUGCCAUCUGAGACACCUAACUUAAUAUUCACUCAAUCCUUGGGCUUGUUGUGCCUGCUGGUUAACACACCUAACACAAUGGACACUGAUGUAGCACUAAUGCUAUAAUGCUAAUAUUGUGUGUUUUGGGGAUGUAAUGAAGCACUAAUAACCCAACAGCCACUUCUUAACACUGUGACACAGACCUGUGUUUGUGACUGUCACCCUAGUGCCUUGUUGUGCCAGGAGACUGUCACCGAACGGAACUCAGUCACAUGUUGUGGUCUGGUUGAGUCACAAAGAUACACACUGACACAAUCGAUUAACUUUGAGUUCUCACACAACACACUUUCUCAUUGCAUUUUAUUAUUCAUACAUCAUAUCUGUGCAAAAAUUGGUUUGGUUAUGUAUAGUAGCCUAGCAAGCCAGGUUUGGUUAUGUAUAGUAGCCUAGCAAGCCAGGUUUGGUUAUGUAUAGUAGCCUAGCAAGCCAGGUUUGGUUACGUAUAGUAGCCUAGCAAGCCAGGUUUGGUUACGUAUAGUAGCCUAGCAAGCCAGGUUUGGUUACGUAUAGUAGCCUAGCAAGCCAGGAUUGGUUAUGUAUAGUAGCCUAGCAAGCCAGGUUUGGUUACGUAUAGUAGCCUAGCAAGCCAGGUUUGGUUACGUAUAGUAGCCUAGCAAGCCAGGUUUGGUUACGUAUAGUAGCCUAGCAAGCCAGGAUUGGUUAUGUAUAGUAGCCUAGCAAGCCAGGUUUGGUUACAUAUAGUAGCCUAGCAAGCCAGGUUUGGUUACAUAUAGUAGCCUAGCAAGCCAGGUUUGGUUAUGUAUAGUAGCCUAGCAAGCCAUGUUUGGUUACGUAUAGUAGCCUAGCAAGCCAGGAUUGGUUAUGUAUAGUAGCCUAGCAAGCCAGGUUUGGUUACAUAUAGUAGCCUAGCAAGCCAGGUUUGGUUAUGUAUAGUAGCCUAGCAAGCCAGGUUUGGUUACGUAUAGUAGCCUAGCAAGCCAGGAUUGGUUAUGUAUAGUAGCCUAGCAAGCCAGGUUUGGUUAUGUAUAGUAGCCUAGCAAGCCAGGUUUGGUUACGUAUAGUAGCCUAGCAAGCCAGGUUUGGUUACGUAUAGUAGCCUAGCAAGCCAGGUUUGGUUACGUAUAGUAGCCUAGCAAGCCAGGUUUGGUUAUGUAUAGUAGCCUAGCAAGCCAGGUUUGGUUAUGUAUAGUAGCCUAGCAAGCCAGGUUUGGUUACGUAUAGUAGCCUAGCAAGCCAGGAUUGGUUAUGUAUAGUAGCCUAGCAAGCCAGGUUUGGUUACGUAUAGUAGCCUAGCAAGCCAGGUUUAGUUACAUAUAGUAGCCUAGCAAGCCAUGUUUGGUUACGUAUAGUAGCCUAGCAAGCCAGGAUUGGUUAGGUAUAGUAGCCUGGCAAGCCAGGUUUGGUUACGUAUAGUAGCCUAGCAAGCCAUGUUUGGUUACGUAUAGUAGCCUAGCAAGCCAGGAUUGGUUAUGUAUAGUAGCCUAGCAAGCCAGGUUUGGUUAUGUAUAGUAGCCUAGCAAGCCAGGUUUGGUUACGUAUAGUAGCCUAGCAAGCCAGGAUUGGUUACGUAUAGUAGCCUAGCAAGCCAGGAUUGGUUAUGUAUAGUAGCCUAGCAAGCCAGGAUUGGUUAUGUAUAGUAGCCUAGCAAGCCAGGUUUGGUUACGUAUAGUAGCCUAGCAAGCCAGGAUUGGUUAUGUAUAGUAGCCUAGCAAGCCAGGUUUGGUUAUGUAUAGUAGCCUAGCAAGCCAGGUUUGGUUACGUAUAGUAGCCUAGCAAGCCAGGUUUGGUUACGUAUAGUAGCCUAGCAAGCCAGGUUUGGUUAUAUAUAGUAGCCUAGCAAGCCAGGAUUGGUUAUAGUAGCCUAGAAAGCCAGGUUUAGUUACGUAUAGUAGCCUAGCAAGCCAGGUUUGGUUACGUAUAGUAGCCUAGCAAGCCAGGAUUGGUUACGUAUAGUAGCCUAGCAAGCCAGGAUUGGUUAUGUAUAGUAGCCUAGCAAGCCAUGUUUGGUUACGUAUAGUAGCCUAGCAAGCCAGGUUUAGUAACAUAUAGUAGCCUAGCAAGCCAGGUUUGGUUAUGUAUAGUAGCCUAGCAAGCCAGGUUUGGUUACGUAUAGUAGCCUAGCAAGCCAGGAUUGGUUAUGUAUAGUAGCCUAGCAAGCCAGGUUUGGUUAUGUAUAGUAGCCUAGCAAGCCAGGUUUGGUUACGUAUAGUAGCCUAGCAAGCCAGGUUUGGUUACGUAUAGUAGCCUAGCAAGCCAGGUUUGGUUAUAUAUAGUAGCCUAGCAAGCCAGGAUUGGUUAUGUAUAGUAGCCUAGCAAGCCAUGUUUGGUUACGUAUAGUAGCCUAGCAAGCCAGGUUUGGUUACAUAUAGUAGUCUAGCAAGCCAGGUUUGACAGAAUGUGUAAUCAGUGGAGGAUGGGUACAGUAGGUUUAGCGUCUGUGUUGACCUGACAACUGUACAGUGCCUUUAAACCUGUCAGAACACCCACCACCACUAUGGCCCCAUUUCUUAAUCCCUGUU
Non-coding RNA from Oncorhynchus mykiss (rainbow trout), 2654 nucleotides. NCBI's taxonomy places the organism in Eukaryota, Metazoa, Chordata, Actinopteri, Salmoniformes, Salmonidae. The record is from RefSeq and is a predicted model, not a curated record.